RNAcentral lists this ribosomal RNA (253 nucleotides) under uncultured bacterium. Its description in RNAcentral is "partial 16S ribosomal RNA". It matches the Rfam family "Bacterial small subunit ribosomal RNA", at positions 524 to 776 of the family's 1533-position model. The record is from RNAcentral.
UACGGAGGGUGCAAGCGUUGUCCGGAAUCACUGGGCGUAAAGGGCGCGUAGGCGGCUCAUGAAGGCUGUGGUGAAAGUCCGGGGCUCAACCUCGGAUCGGCCGUGGCGACUCGUGGGCUGGAGCACUGUAGAGGCGGGUGGAAUUCCGGGUGUAGCGGUGGAAUGCGUAGAGAUCCGAAAGAACACCAGUGGCGAAGGCGGCCCGCUGGGCAGUGGCUGACGCUGAGGCGCGACAGCGUGGGGAGCAAACAGG